AACGGUGCCCUUUAAAAAGAAUAGGAAGACAUUCUCAAGGUAGCAAGUGGAGGACUGAGAGUCAUUUACAUUGCCUGUCCUAGGAGAAAUGGCUUAUUUUGGACCCCAAGCUUGUGAAACAGGGCAUUUUGGAUAGAUCCAUGUGUGAGACAGAUUCUAAUUCUAGUUAGGCUCACUGUGGGCAAUUGCAUAGGGAUCCUUGUACUACCAGACUGGGGCUGAGAGCCUCAAGGUUUGUAAAUAAGCCCUGUGGUUCUGGCCAUUUUACUUGUCCUUUAGAGAGAACCACUAAUGCCCUUCCAACCUCAUAAUGAUUGCGGCGAGGAAUAUCAACAAGGAAAUCUCCGUUCAACAGAAGAGAGCUUUGAGGAAAGAGAAGCUAAGAAAGGGAGUAAAUAUGCAUUUACUUAUCAGUUGGCUUUGAACUUGGAAUAGAAAAGGAACAUGAUUACUCUAAAACCUCAGUCUCAAACUCAAAAAGCCGUUAAAAAAGAAAACAAUAAAUAAAACUUCUAUCAAGUCUCAAGACUUCUCUCAUCAUUGAAAGUCACGCCUCAAGACUAAUUUAGAUGGAAAUCAGAUGGAAAGCCUGAUGCUGCAGUUUGUUGAAUUAUAAG
Macaca mulatta (Rhesus monkey) is the source of this 617-nucleotide non-coding RNA. NCBI's taxonomy places the organism in Eukaryota, Metazoa, Chordata, Mammalia, Primates, Cercopithecidae. The record is from RefSeq and is a predicted model, not a curated record.